This 437-nucleotide ribosomal RNA is filed under the name uncultured bacterium. RNAcentral's name for it is "bacterial SSU rRNA". It matches the Rfam family "Bacterial small subunit ribosomal RNA", at positions 949 to 1388 of the family's 1533-position model. The record is from RNAcentral.
AUUCGAUGCAACGCGAAGAACCUUACCUGGGCUUGACAUACACCGGAUCGGGCUAGAGAUAGUCCUUCCCUUGUGGCUGGUGUACAGGUGGUGCAUGGCUGUCGUCAGCUCGUGUCGUGAGAUGUUGGGUUAAGUCCCGCAACGAGCGCAACCCUUGUCUUAUGUUGCCAGCAUUUGGUUGGGGACUCAUGAGAGACUGCCGGGGUCAACUCGGAGGAAGGUGGGGACGACGUCAAGUCAUCAUGCCCCUUAUGUCCAGGGCUUCACACAUGCUACAAUGGUCGGUACAAUGCGUUGCGAGCCUGUGAGGGUGAGCUAAUCGCAUAAAGCCGGUCUCAGUUCGGAUUGGGGUCUGCAACUCGACCCCAUGAAGUCGGAGUCGCUAGUAAUCGCAGAUCAGCAAUGCUGCGGUGAAUACGUUCCCGGGCCUAGUACAC